RNAcentral lists this long non-coding RNA (3634 nucleotides) under Zea mays. RNAcentral describes it as "long non-coding RNA (ZMAY_LNC000172)". The record is from RNAcentral. Lineage: Eukaryota; Viridiplantae; Streptophyta; Magnoliopsida; Poales; Poaceae.
GUCAGAGACAUCCACAUAAGCAUUAACUUAAAUAGUAAUCGAAAUGCUAAAGCGAAACACAGCAAUGACGAGGCCUUCACAGGCAGCUGACUGGGGGGUUUGCCACUAAUCUAGUCUAGAACUCCUUGGAGUCCUGAAACUCCUGAAAGUCCUCCGCAUGGCCUCCAUCUUCUCCUGAGUAGGGGUUGCAAUGUGGACAACCUAGUGCUUUGUGUUUAAGCAAUGAUGAGUACACAUCAACGUACUCAACAAAUGUCCCGUUUGGCUAAGGUGGACUAGCUUUAUGUGGGGUGAAGCUCAGAGCAGUUGCUUUUAGUCCGUCACAUAUUUAUUAUUAGUAGAAGCCAAGUUUUAGCAAUAAUCCCAAGUUAUUAUCCCAAAAGGUACUCCCUCAGAGAGGAAAUACAAGCAGAUCUAUAAUUAUAACCAUAAUCAUUAAAUCAUCGUCAUAAAUGUAUCCAGAAUAUCUCUAAUCAAAGGAGCUCCUAAGGCUGUUCAUAAUCGUGAGCACAGCGGAUAUACCAGUUUCUAACCCUCUGCAGAGGUCGUACACUUUACCCACGAGCCGUGAUCCCUUUUUGCCUCGAGUUGUACAGACUCUCAAACACUCCCACGGUGAGUCGACAAGGUUUCACUACAUAGCUUUUACAAAGAUUCCCUAGAGGUCAUAGUCGCCCAUUAGGUUUCUCUAGUUUGAUAAACACAGUAUCUCUCCCUGCAGGAGGGGUGACUAACAAAAGCAAAACGAAAGAACCUCGGCACCCAGCCUCAGACGAGCAAGUACUGUGCCCAUACCCCAUUGACGGCACAACGGCGAAGCAGACUACACCUCAAGUUCCUCGAAUUAAUCAACUAAUGGCGUCCCAUACCACCCUUAUGGUUGUACUGUUUUCUCGGAUGGUCAUCCAAUGAACAGAUCCUUACGAGGAGGUACUCGAGAAAUAGCUCGAGUCCCCUUUAGUGCCACAAGUUCAUUGUCACAUCUAGAAUAACAUCGUCGUAUCAUAAAGUAUUCUCAUCAUGUUCAUUGAUUAAAGUAAAGCACUAGUGUGAUAUUGAUCAUAAUAGCUCAACCCAAAAGGUAAUUCGAGGACAUGAUAAACAGAAAACUAGUCAAUCUUUAAGUUGAUCAUGGUAUGUGGGAUAAUGAAUUAUAAAGUGAAUAUGUCAUAAUAGGUUAGAGGACACUUGCCUUCACCAAGGUGCUCCUUAGGGACUUCUCCUGCAACUCCCUCGAAAAACACGAGCUGCUCGUUGUCUACGCAAAGCAAUCAUUCAGUCAACGCACUUGGGGAAAUAACAAAAGAACAAUACACCAAACAUAUGCAACAUAAUAAUCACAGGUUCAACAGAAAGGUGUAGACAAUGUGGUGUUUUCUGAGUCUAGGGUAGAUCACUACACUGGGUGGUUUGUUGUUCACCAACCAGGUCUAUGUGAUUAUAAUAUUUGUUCAAAUAAGGUUAGUGUAGUGAUGGGGCUAAUCAUUAGAUGAUGCUAAGUUUUAAAAUUAGAACAUUUGUGAAAGUCGCCUAGAGGGGGGGUGAAUAGGGCGAAACUGAAAUUUACAAAGUUAAUCACAACUACAAGCCGGGUUAGCGUUAGAAAUAUAAUCGAGUCCGCGAGAGAGGGUGCAAAACAAAUCGCAAGUGAAUAAAGAGUGUGGCACGCGGAUUUGUUUUACCGAGGUUCGGUUCUCGCAAACCUACUCCCCGUUGAGGUGGUCACAAAGACCGGGUCUCUUUCAACCCUUUCCCUCUCUCAAACAGUCCCUCGGACCGAGUGAGCUUCUUCUUCUCAAUCAAACGGGAACAAACUUCCCCGCAAGGGCCACCACACAAUUGGUGCCUCUUGUCGUGGUUACAAUUGAGUUGUUCGCAACAAAGAAUCAAAGAAGAAAGCAAUCCAAGCGCAAGAGCUCGAAAGAACACAAGCAAAUCUCUCUCACUAAUCACUAAGGCGUUGUGUGGAAUUGGGAGAGGAUUUGAUCACUUGGGUGUGUCUAGAAUUGAAUGCUAGAGCUCUUGUAAGUAGUUGAAGUGGGAAAACUUGGAUGACUUGAAUGUGGGGUGGUUGGGGGUAUUUAUAACCCCAACCACCAAACUAGCCGUUUGGUGGAGACUGCUGUCGCAUGGCGCACCGGACAGUCCGGUGCGCCAGCCACGUCACCAGGCCGUUGGGUUCCGACCGUUGGAGCUCUGACGUGUGGGCUCGCCUGGCUGCCGGUGGCGCACUGGACAAGUCCUGUAGACUGUCCGGUGUGCCACCCGCGCGUGCUCUGACUUCUGCGCGCGCUGGCGCGCAUUUAAUGCGCCUGCAGUCGACCGUUGGCGCGAAGUAGUCGUUGCUCCGCUGGCUCACCGGACAGUCCGGUGUGCACCAGACAUGUCCGGUGAAUUAUAGCGGAGCGGAUUCCCGAAGCUUGCGAGUUCAGAGUCGCUCUCCUCUGGAGCACCGGACACUGUCCGGUGGUGCACCGGACAGUCCGGUGAAUUAUAGCGAAGCGCCUCUGAAAAUUCCCGAAGGUGAAGAGUUUGGCUUGGACAGUCCGGUGCGCCAGACCAGGGCAGCCUUCGGUUAUCCCUUGCUCUCUUUGUUGAACCCAUUUCUUGGUCUUUUUAUUGGCUAAGUGUGAACCUUUGGUACCUGUAUAACUUAUACACUAGAGCAAACUAGUUAGUCCAGUUAUUUGUGUUGGGUAAUUCAACCACCAAAAUCAAUUAGGAAAUAGGUGUAAGCCUAAUUCCCUUUCAAUUUGUAUGAGUUGUCUACUCUUAUUUUAUUAAGGCUCUAAUUAUUCAUUUUCAAACCAAGGGUUGUCUAUUUAUUGAGACAAUUAAACUGUGUAAGAAUAUAAUUCCAGCAGAUAGGCAAAAUCAUAAAGAACAAUUUGCAAUUUGAAACACUUAAUUUGGAGUUCAUAUGACAAAGUUAUGAUUUUUGGAAGUUUUGGGAUUUAAAACUCUAUUUAAACACAUUUCUACGAUUAACUAAAAGCCCGAUGGCCUAACAGCAAGACCACAGGGGCUCUCGUGAAAGAAACGGGGACGACAGCUUCAUUCUCGGGAAACCCAGGGUUUCUUUAACAAAAGUGCCAUGCGAAGGGGUAUCGGGCCAUGCGGGCCAUCAGAUCUUUGAUCCACGGUCGCGAUUAGAACCGACAUGGGGCAGACGCGCAGGUGCGCGCGAGGCGCUUGCGGUCGACAGGUGGGGCCCGGGGGUCAGCGGCUCAGGCGCGGGCGCGGGAAUUGGCCGGCCAGGCCCAGUGGCCAGCGGCUCAGGCGGGCAGCGAGGUGCGUGGCGGACGUGUGGCGGUCUGACGGGCGGGACCCGCCUCUCAGUGACACGAGAGAGGGAAAAUGGAUAUGGUGCCGGGAGGCUGAUAGUGGGCCCUGGAUGUUAGGGUCGCCGUCUACCUCCCGCCCGUGCAUGGCACAUGCACCAUGGCCGGGGCAGGCGGCGCUCAAGGGGAAAAGGGGGAAUGUGGGGGCGGCGGUGACCGACCGAAGGACCAUGGCACGAUGGCGCAACGCCGUCAUCGACCCUCACCGGUGACUGCACAACAGACAAUAUUGAACGAGGGAGAGAGAAAAGGAGAAUCAACAAGUGGGCUUACCUUGGGUGGAGCUCGAUUGG